AGAGUUUGAUCAUGGCUCAGGAUGAACGCUGGCGGCGUGCCUAACACAUGCAAGUCGAACGAGAAGCUAACCUCUGAUUCCUUCGGGAUGAUGAGGUUGGUAGAAAGUGGCGAACGGGUGAGUAACGCGUGGGUAAUCUACCCUGUUUAGUGGGGGAUAACCCUCCGAAAGGAGGGCUAAUACCGCAUAAUAUCUUCUCCUCCUAAGAAGAGAAGAUCAAAGAUGGCCUCUAUACUAUGCUAUCGCUUCAGGAUGAGCCUGCGUCCUAUUAGUUAGUUGGUGGGGUAAUGGCCUACCAAGACCACAAUGGGUAGCCGGUCUGAGAGGAUGUACGGCCACACUGGGACUGAGAUACGGCCCAGACUCCUACGGGAGGCAGC
This 380-nucleotide ribosomal RNA is filed under the name uncultured bacterium. RNAcentral describes it as "bacterial SSU rRNA". It matches the Rfam family "Bacterial small subunit ribosomal RNA", at positions 8 to 352 of the family's 1533-position model. The record is from RNAcentral.